GUUUAUUAGCAGCUCACGAAUUGGCAGGACAGGGAAAAGCAGAUCCUGGAUGAAGAAUCACGCCUGAUUGUCUUGUAGUUGCCAACAUUGGUCAGUGUUCUGCAACGUGAGGACCUUCUGUCGUUCUUUUGACUUUUCCCUCUUCCCUGUUCGGUCCUAGAAGCAAGAAGACCACUAAGGCUGGAAGCAUCAAAUCAGCAUCCAGGGUAGGAAGGAAGAGUGAAAAUACCAGCAACGCCACACCAUUUUAUAGAAAGCAAAAGCUUUGUGCAGACAACAGCAGGGCAGUGCUGGAAGCCACAUGUGUCAGACGGCUGAGCCACAAGAUGAAAAGAGCUUGAGUCCCUGGGUUACCACUUGGAAGAGAGCAGCCUGCUAAUUGGCAAGAGUCAUUUUGGAUCUUAUAUAAACAAGAAAUAAACUUCUACUAUCUUUGA
Pan troglodytes (chimpanzee) is the source of this 437-nucleotide long non-coding RNA. RefSeq lists it as uncharacterized. The record is from RefSeq and is a predicted model, not a curated record. Lineage: Eukaryota; Metazoa; Chordata; Mammalia; Primates; Hominidae. The transcript is spliced from 2 exons.